Molecule: ribosomal RNA, 468 nt
Filed under: uncultured bacterium
Lineage: Bacteria
Description: partial 16S ribosomal RNA
Rfam family: Bacterial small subunit ribosomal RNA
Source: RNAcentral
GACGAACGCUGGCGGCGUGCUUAACACAUGCAAGUCGAACGGAAAGGCCCUGCUUUUGUGGGGUGCUCGAGUGGCGAACGGGUGAGUAACCCGUGAGUAACCUGCCCUUGACUUUGGGAUGACUUCAGGCAACUGCGGCUACUACCGGAUAGGAGCUCCUGCUGCAUGGUGGGGGUUGGAACGUUUCGGCGGAUGGGGAUGUACUCGCGGCUUAUCAGCUUGUUGGUGGGGUAGUGGCUUACCAAGGCUUUGACGGGUAGCCGGCCUGAGAGGUUGGCCAGCCACAUUGGGACUGAGAGACGGCGCAGUCGGCUACGGGAGGCAGCAGGCGGGAAUAUUGUACAAUGGGCGGAAGCCUGAGGCAGCAACGUCGCGUGCGUGAUGACGGCUUUCGGGUUGUAAACCGCUUUCGCCUGUGACGAAGCGUGAGUGACGGUAAUGGGUAAAGAAGCACCGGCUAACUACGUG